UCAAGUAACUACGCGUUAUCAAAGAUUUCUCAAAAAGUAGUUAUCAGAUCUCAAUAAAAUUUAUAUGUGACCACAUGACAAACAUCAGCUUUCGAUUAAAUUAAAAAUUAUUAAAAUCGGUACACCCAGUAAAAAGUUAUUGCGGAUUUUCAAGAGUUUCCCUCGAUUUCUCUGGGAUCCCAUCAUCAGAUCCUAGUUUCCUUAUCAUGUUACUAAACUAGGGAUAUCUCCUUUCCAACAAAAAAAGAAUUAUCAAAAUCGGUACAUCCAGUAGAAAGUUAUGUGGUAUAAUACA
RNAcentral lists this unclassified non-coding RNA (295 nucleotides) under Melitaea cinxia (Glanville fritillary). RNAcentral describes it as "misc RNA ENSMCXG00005008945.1". The record is from RNAcentral. Lineage: Eukaryota; Metazoa; Arthropoda; Insecta; Lepidoptera; Nymphalidae.